AGUGAACGCUGGCGGUAGGCCUAACACAUGCAAGUCGAACGGCAGCACAGUAAGAGCUUGCUCUUACGGGUGGCGAGUGGCGGACGGGUGAGGAAUACAUCGGAAUCUACUUUUUCGUGGGGGAUAACGUAGGGAAACUUACUCUAAUACCGCAUACGACCUACGGGUGAAAGCAGGGGAUCUUCGGACCUUGCGCGAUUGAAUGAGCCGAUGUCGGAUUAGCUAGUUGGCGGGGUAAAGGCCCACCAAGGCGACGAUCCGUAGCUGGUCUGAGAGGAUAAUCGGCCACACUGGAGCGGAGACACGGUCCAGACUCCUACGGGAGGGAGCAGUGGGGAAUAUUGGACAAUGGGCGCAAGCCUGAUCCAGCCAUCCCGCGUGGGUGAAGAAGGCGUUCGGGUUGUAAAGCCCUUUUGUUGGGAAAGAAAAGCAGCAGGUUAAUACCCAGCUGUUCUGACGGUACCCGAAGAAUAAGCACCGGCUAACUUCGUG
RNAcentral lists this ribosomal RNA (492 nucleotides) under uncultured bacterium. RNAcentral describes it as "partial 16S ribosomal RNA". It matches the Rfam family "Bacterial small subunit ribosomal RNA", at positions 29 to 507 of the family's 1533-position model. The record is from RNAcentral.